GACGAACGCUGGCGGCGUGCUUAACACAUGCAAGUCGAACGAGAAUCGGUGGAUAGAGGCUUCGGCCAAUUGAAAUCGAGGACAGUGGCGGACGGGUGAGUAACGCGUGAGGAACCUGCCUUUCAGAGGGGGACAACAGUUGGAAACGACUGCUAAUACCGCAUAACGCAUAGGGGUCGCAUGAUUCUUAUGCCAAAGAUUUAUCGCUGAAAGAUGGCCUCGCGUCUGAUUAGCUAGUUGGUGAGGUAACGGCCCACCAAGGCGACGAUCAGUAGCCGGACUGAGAGGUUGAACGGCCACAUUGGGACUGAGAUACGGCCCAG
RNAcentral lists this ribosomal RNA (323 nucleotides) under uncultured bacterium. RNAcentral describes it as "bacterial SSU rRNA". It matches the Rfam family "Bacterial small subunit ribosomal RNA", at positions 28 to 334 of the family's 1533-position model. The record is from RNAcentral.